GAUGAACGCUAGCGGCAGGCUUAACACAUGCAAGUCGAGGGGCAGCAUAAUGGUAGUAAUACUAUUGAUGGCGACCGGCGGACGGGUGCGUAACGCGUAUGCAACCUACCCUUUACAGGGGGAUAACACUGAGAAAUCGGUACUAAUACCCCAUAAUAUUCUGGGAGGCAUCUUUCGGAGUUGAAAGCUUUGGUGGUAAAGGAUGGGCAUGCGUUGUAUUAGCUAGUUGGUAAGGUAACGGCUUACCAAGGCGACGAUACAUAGGGGGACUGAGAGGUUAACCCCCCACAUUGGUACUGAGACACGGACCAAACUCCUACGGGAGGCAGCAGUGAGGAAUAUUGGUCAAUGGACGGAAGUCUGAACCAGCCAUGCCGCGUGCAGGAAGACGGCUCUAUGAGUUGUAAACUGCUUUUGUACGAGGGUAAACGCAGAUACGUGUAUCUGCCUGAAAGUAUCGUACGAAUAAGGAUUCGGCUAACUCCGUCCCAGCAGCCGCGGUAAUACGGAGGAUCCAAGCGUUAUCCGGAUUUAUUGGGUUUAAAGGGUGCGUAGGCGGUUUAGUAAGUCAGCGGUGAAAUUUUGGUGCUUAACACCAAACGUGCCGUUGAUACUGCUGGGCUAGAGAGUAGUUGCGGUAGGCGGAAUGUAUGGUGUAGCGGUGAAAUGCUUAGAGAUCAUACAGAACACCGAUUGCGAAGGCAGCUUACCAAACUAUAUCUGACGUUGAGGCACGAAAGCGUGGGGAGCAAACAGGAUUAGAUACCCUGGUAGUCCACGCAGUAAACGAUGAUAGCUCGUUGUCGGCGAUACACAGUCGGUGACUAAGAGAAAUCGAUAAGCUAUCCACCUGGGGAGUACGUUCGCAAGAAUGAAACUCAAAGGAAUUGACGGGGGCCCGCACAAGCGGAGGAACAUGUGGUUUAAUUCGAUGAUACGCGAGGAACCUUACCCGGGCUUGAAAGUUACUGACGAUUCUGGAAACAGGAUUUCCCUUCGGGGCAGGAAACUAGGUGCUGCAUGGUUGUCGUCAGCUCGUGCCGUGAGGUGUCGGGUUAAGUCCCAUAACGAGCGCAACCCCUACUGAUAGUUGCCAUCAGAGCGUUUGAGCGAUCAAACAAGCUGGGCACUCUAUCGGGACUGCCGGUGUAAGCCGAGAGGAAGGUGGGGAUGACGUCAAAUCAGCACGGCCCUUACGUCCGGGGCGACACACGUGUUACAAUGGUAGGUACAGAGGGCAGCCACCCAGUGAUGGGGAGCGAAUCUCGAAAGCCUAUCUCAGUUCGGAUUGGAGGCUGAAACUCGCCUCCAUGAAGUUGGAUUCGCUAGUAAUCGCGCAUCAGCCAUGGCGCGGUGAAUACGUUCCCGGGCCUUGUACACACCGCCCGUCAAGCCAUGGGAGUUGGGGGUGCCUGAAGUUCGUGACCGAAAGGAGCGACCUAGGGCAAAACCGAUGACUGGGGCUAAGUCGUAACAAGGUAGCCGUACCGGAAGG
This 1495-nucleotide ribosomal RNA is filed under the name uncultured bacterium. RNAcentral's name for it is "bacterial SSU rRNA". It matches the Rfam family "Bacterial small subunit ribosomal RNA". The record is from RNAcentral.